This is a long non-coding RNA of Homo sapiens (human), 554 nucleotides long. NCBI's taxonomy places the organism in Eukaryota, Metazoa, Chordata, Mammalia, Primates, Hominidae. The record is from Ensembl.
GCUUUUAGCUUUUUAUUUUUGUAUUAACAGGAGUCUUAUUACACAUAGGUCUGAUAAAACUGGUUUAUGAUCUUCAGUCUGUUUCCAGUGCUGCAUAACUAGAUAACGUAUGAAGGAAAAACGACGACGAACAAAAAAUUAAUUGCUUGGAAGACUUAGUUGAAUCUAUCCAUGAAAACAGAAUCAAUUAAACAUGUAUGUGUUACUUAGACUAAAUAUAAAUAACCCAUAUAAAUGGUAGCUCAAACAUCUCAAGUGUUUCAGAGAAUGUUAGAAUCUAUUGUUUGAAGUGUCUAUUGUACUCUAUGCAAGUUCUGUUUCCAAACAUUAGUAUUAGUUGGUGAUAUUUCCCCUUCAUAGGGAAGGUAAAAAAGGUUUGUAGAGGUGGCAAACAAUAUUUGGUUUAAACUAGCAGGAGACAAAGGAAUUCCAAGAAAGGCAAAAAUCCUUUCAGUAGUUUUCUGAGGAAAAUGCACAAUAUCUUCAAACUUGACCAGCUGGUAGCUAGUAGGCAGCAAAUCUGUAUUUAUUCUCAAGGCUGCUGCUGUAUUUGC